Molecule: ribosomal RNA, 756 nt
Filed under: uncultured bacterium
Lineage: Bacteria
Description: bacterial SSU rRNA
Rfam family: Bacterial small subunit ribosomal RNA
Source: RNAcentral
AGAGUUUGAUCCUGGCUCAGAAUCAACGCUGGCGGCGUGCCUAACACAUGCAAGUCGAACGAGAAAGUGGAGCAAUCCAUGAGUAAAGUGGCGCACGGGUGAGUAACACGUGACUAACCUACCCUUGAGUGGGGAAUAACCUAGAGAAAUCUGGGCUAAUACCGCAUAACACCUACGGGUCAGAGGAGCAAUUCGCUUAAGGAGGGGGUCGCGGCAGAUUAGCUAGUUGGCGGGGUAAUGGCCCACCAAGGCGGUGAUCUGUAUCCGGCCUGAGAGGGCGCACGGACACACUGGAACUGAAACACGGUCCAGACUCCUACGGGAGGCAGCAGUGGGGAAUUUUGCGCAAUGGGGGAAACCCUGACGCAGCAACGCCGCGUGGAGGAUGAAGUCCCUUGGGACGUAAACUCCUUUCGAUCGGGACGAUUAUGACGGUACCGAGAGAAGAAGCCCCGGCUAACUUCGUGCCAGCAGCCGCGGUAAUACGAGGGGGGCGAGCGUUGUUCGGAAUUACUGGGCGUAAAGGGUGCGUAGGCGGUUCGGUAAGUCUUAUGUGAAAUCUUCGGGCUCAACUCGAAGUCUGCAUGAGAAACUGCCGGGCUUGAGUGUGGGAGAGGUGAGUGGAAUUUCCGGUGUAGCGGUGAAAUGCGUAGAUAUCGGAAGGAACACCUGUGGCGAAAGCGGCUCACUGGACCACAACUGACGCUGAUGCACGAAAGCUAGGGGAGCAAACAGGAUUAGAUACCCCCGUAGUCC